This 250-nucleotide unclassified non-coding RNA is filed under the name plant metagenome. Its description in RNAcentral is "partial contains small subunit ribosomal RNA, internal transcribed spacer 1, and 5.8S ribosomal RNA". The record is from RNAcentral.
GUAGGUGAACCUGCGGAAGGAUCAUUAAAAUAACGGGUUCGGAACCUUUGAUCGGGGUCUGAACCUUUGGCGCGAAGCACCCGGGUCUGGUGGCUUAUCUAUGGGGCCGGGUAUUGCCGUUACAAGCUUUGGAAUGGGCAUGAGAAGGGGUAGCGUCUGCAGGGUUAGUAUCUAUCACCUGUAGGUCCCUGUGCCGCCCUGUUUACAGUCACCCACCCGCUGGAUCCAUGACCAAAAAACCCACUGUGAA